RNAcentral lists this ribosomal RNA (199 nucleotides) under uncultured bacterium. RNAcentral describes it as "partial 16S ribosomal RNA". It matches the Rfam family "Bacterial small subunit ribosomal RNA", at positions 326 to 539 of the family's 1533-position model. The record is from RNAcentral.
ACGCUCGACACUACGGGAGCAGCAGUGGGGAAUAUUGGGCAAUGGGCGCAAGCCUGACCCAGCAACGCCGCGUGAAGGAAGAAGGCCCUCGGGUUGUAAACUUCUUUUCUUGGGGACGAAGCAAGUGACGGUACCCAAGGAAUAAGCCACGGCUAACUACGUGUCAGCAGCCGCGGUAAUCUGAGCGGGCUGGCAAGGC